GACGAACGCUGGCGGCGUGCUUAACACAUGCAAGUCGAACGGAGAGGCCCUGCUUUUGUGGGGUGCUCGAGUGGCGAACGGGUGAGUAACACGUGAGUAACCUGCCCUUGACUUUGGGAUAACUUCAGGAAACUGGGGCUAAUACCGGAUAGGAGCUCCUGCUGCAUGGUGGGGGUUGGAAAGUUUCGGCGGUUGGGGAUGGACUCGCGGCUUAUCAGCUUGUUGGUGGGGUAGUGGUUUACCAAGGCUUUGACGGGUAGCCGGCCUGAGAGGGUGACCGGCCACAUUGGGACUGAGAUACGGCCCAGACUCCUACGGGAGGCAGCAGUGGGGAAUAUUGCACAAUGGGCGGAAGCCUGAUGCAGCAACGCCGCGUGCGGGAUGACGGCCUUCGGGUUGUAAACCGCUUUCGCCUGUGACGAAGCGUGAGUGACGGUAAUGGGUAAAGAAGCACCGGCUAACUACGUG
Molecule: ribosomal RNA, 468 nt
Filed under: uncultured bacterium
Lineage: Bacteria
Description: partial 16S ribosomal RNA
Rfam family: Bacterial small subunit ribosomal RNA
Source: RNAcentral